Molecule: ribosomal RNA, 550 nt
Filed under: uncultured bacterium
Lineage: Bacteria
Description: bacterial SSU rRNA
Rfam family: Bacterial small subunit ribosomal RNA
Source: RNAcentral
UAGGGAAUCUUCGGCAAUGGACGGAAGUCUGACCGAGCAACGCCGCGUGAGUGAAGAAGGUUUUCGGAUCGUAAAGCUCUGUUGUAAGAGAAGAACGAGUGUGAGAGUGGAAAGUUCACACUGUGACGGUAUCUUACCAGAAAGGGACGGCUAACUACGUGCCAGCAGCCGCGGUAAUACGUAGGUCCCGAGCGUUGUCCGGAUUUAUUGGGCGUAAAGCGAGCGCAGGCGGUUAGAUAAGUCUGAAGUUAAAGGCUGUGGCUUAACCAUAGUACGCUUUGGAAACUGUUUAACUUGAGUGCAAGAGGGGAGAGUGGAAUUCCAUGUGUAGCGGUGAAAUGUGUAGAUAUAUGGAGGAACACCGGUGGCGAAAGCGGCUCUCUGGCUUGUAACUGACGCUGAGGCUCGAAAGCGUGGGGAGCAAACAGGAUUAGAUACCCUGGUAGUCCACGCCGUAAACGAUGAGUGCUAGGUGUUAGACCCUUUCCGGGGUUUAGUGCCGUAGCUAACGCAUUAAGCACUCCGCCUGGGGAGUACGACCGCAAGGUUG